This 1273-nucleotide long non-coding RNA is filed under the name Lonchura striata (white-rumped munia). Its description in RNAcentral is "domestica (Bengalese finch) lncRNA (ENSLSDG00000009816.1)". The record is from RNAcentral. Lineage: Eukaryota; Metazoa; Chordata; Aves; Passeriformes; Estrildidae.
AUGAACAGACAUGCAGACAAUUUGACUAUGGUCCAGAAGAUUAGAGUUGAACUCUGUGUCACAGGUUUUCCCAGGAGGCUGACUGAGAAGACUGCACCUCUUUCUGGAGUUCUAUGGGGCAUUAGGAUAUUGCUCCUGGUGUUCACCUGCCACGCCAGAAGGAGUGUCAAACGUGACAUCUCUCACCUGCUGGCCCUGUCAAGGGUAUCAAACACCCUAAGAAUGCAAAAUACCACCAAGAUACUGCACUUAGGUGAGUCUUACAUGUCUUGAUUGCCAUUGUUUUGGCUGGAGCUUCUCAGCAUGGGGCAGACAUCAGAACCAGCCUUGUGCAGCUCUCUCUGGCUCAACCCUCCAGUCUUACUCCUUGGCAAGAAGACAACACAGUCAAAUCCACCUGUGGGUCUUCCUGAUCCCAGCUGGAGAAACAGGAACAUACAUCACAUGUGCAGCUCUUCUCUGGAUACAGCAUUUCCUCUUAAUAUAUAAUUAAAAUAUAUAUCUGAUUUAAUUUAAAAAAUGGGUAGCAUUAGGGCAGCAGAGAACCUUGCCACUUCACUUUCUGGUGCCUUCCUAAAGGUGACAAAAUGGAAAAUAUUUUUUGAAAAACACUAAUUGAAUUCAGCUGUGGUGUGGUUUUGUAUUGUGCUGGGUUUUUGUUUGUUUGUUUGUUUGCUUGUUUUUUUUUUCCCAAAUGUAGGAUGAAGUUCUUAUCAAAAUGAGAUUUUAGUAAGAGGAGCAAAACCUUAAAAAAAUAAUUGAACUAAAUGCCUUACCAAACAUGUAACUUUAUAGGUUCUUUCUUAAUUCAGUUUAACAACAUAUAGUCCCUUCCCUGGAAGAAAAUUCCAAGCUAAAUAGUGUUCUUGCUGAAUUUGUUCUUGAUAGAGUUAAGUAUGGGAAAUGUGCCUUGACCCCUGUUUAAUUUUAGGAGAUGCUUAAGUUUACUUGCAUAUAGACCUCAUCUGGAUGACAAUAGCUGGCAUAAAUACAUGUUGUUUCUUGUUUGAUUGAGCCAAUUAUUAAGAAUCAUUGGAAAUCUUCCUCAGAAAAACUUUCCUCCCUCGAAACAAAAACCUGCUUGUACAUAAAUAUGUAUUUAUCACUUCUUUUUCUCUUAAAAGUAAUUCAUUAGGAUUAACUGCACAGUCAGUUAAUCUCUAAAUCCAGAAAAAGGCACCAGAAUAAGUGACUAGGCAAAUUCAAAGACAGAAUAUCUAUAGUAAAAUUUCUGACUCAAGCAGAAACAUAGGCAGUGUUUAAAAGCAUGUUA